This 492-nucleotide ribosomal RNA is filed under the name uncultured bacterium. RNAcentral describes it as "partial 16S ribosomal RNA". It matches the Rfam family "Bacterial small subunit ribosomal RNA", at positions 29 to 507 of the family's 1533-position model. The record is from RNAcentral.
AGUGAACGCUGGCGGUAGGCCUAACACAUGCAAGUCGAACGGCAGCACAGUAAGAGCUUGCUCUUACGGGUGGCGAGUGGCGGACGGGUGAGGAAUACAUCGGAAUCUGCUUUUUCGUGGGGGAUAACGUAGGGAAACUUACGCUAAUACCGCAUACGACCUACGGGUGAAAGCAGGGGAUCUUCGGACCUUGCGCGAUUGAAUGAGCCGAUGUCGGAUUAGCUAGUUGACGGGGUAAAGGCCCACCAAGGCGACGAUCCGUAGCUGGUCUGAGAGGAUGAUCAGCCACACUGGAACUGAGACACGGUCCAGACUCCUACGGGAGGCAGCAGUGGGGAAUAUUGGACAAUGGGCGCAAGCCUGAUCCAGCCAUACCGCGUGGGUGAAGAAGGCCUUCGGGUUGUAAAGCCCUUUUGUUGGGAAAGAAAAGCAGCAGGUUAAUACCCCGCUGUUCUGACGGUACCCAAAGAAUAAGCACCGGCUAACUUCGUG